UACGUAGGGUCCAAGCGUUGUCCGGAUUUAUUGGGCGUAAAGAGCUCGUAGGCGGUUUCGUAAGUCGGAUGUGAAAACUCAGGGCUCAACCCGGAGACGCCAUCCGAUACUGCGAUGACUUGAGUCUGGUAGGGGAACACGGAAUUCCUGGUGUAGCGGUGAAAUGCGCAGAUAUCAGGAGGAACACCGGUGGCGAAGGCGGGUCUCUGGGCCGAUACUGACGCUGAGGAGCGAAAGCGUGGGGAGCGAACAGG
Molecule: ribosomal RNA, 254 nt
Filed under: uncultured bacterium
Lineage: Bacteria
Description: partial 16S ribosomal RNA
Rfam family: Bacterial small subunit ribosomal RNA
Source: RNAcentral